Long non-coding RNA from Brienomyrus brachyistius, 912 nucleotides. RefSeq lists it as uncharacterized. The transcript is spliced from 4 exons. NCBI's taxonomy places the organism in Eukaryota, Metazoa, Chordata, Actinopteri, Osteoglossiformes, Mormyridae. The record is from RefSeq and is a predicted model, not a curated record.
GAGAUACAAUCGAAAGCUUGAAACACAUAUCGACGAUCAACUUUCAAAGCUACGAUGGAAAUGCUAAACUGGAGAGAUAAUCGUGAAGGACCUCUACCCUGACAAGUUAGCCAUAAGUGGAAAAGAGCGGAUAGUUUUAACAAUGCUGCCAAUGAUGAAUUGUUGAUCGCUACAGCUGAAAAAAUUGAUGCGGAUCUAGCGAUGGAAACAACCUCAACCGAUAUGGUACAGAACAAACCGGUCAGCCAUCUGGAAUCUAUGCGACCAGGGAUUCCCACGACUCAAUGCAUGCUACCGGACCAAGGGGAAUCUGCAAGGAGUGUUCCAUUGACUUCAACCCGUCUGCCUGUCUGCUUUUCUCAUCCUGUGUCAGGUCCUGUCCGUCGCUCCCCUUGAGGCGCGCCCAGAGUGCCCGCUUCGGGGUUUGGUUCUGUCAUGACCUGCACGUCCAGUCCUCGUGUGUACCACGCCCACCUUGUUACCUUCGUGUGAAUCCCGCUUGUUACCAGCCUAUCCCGGAAGCAAUGGGCACGAGGCAGGGAACAACCCAGGAUGGGGGGCCAGCCCAUCGCAGGGCACACUCACACACCAUUCACUCUCACAUGCACACCUACGGGCAAUUUAGCAACCUCUAGCAAGUCGUAUUUCCUUAAAAGACUGUUGGAAAAUGUGGGUUGUACAUUUUCCAGAGUGCCUGAAAAUGUUGUAUGGUGAUAUUCUUGCUGGCAACCGUUGUGUGAUAAACUGAAAUUUGUGGAAGGAAUUACAGAUUCUCUGUGAGACGAUGACCUUUUGCAAUCAAAUAAAAUCAACCUAAUCAUCAUUGACAAUCUUAUUGAAAAAGCCUGCGACAAUAACGAAGUCGAAAAAGCUUUUAUCAAGUACUUGCAUCACAGAAAUCUAAUUGUUAUA